RNAcentral lists this long non-coding RNA (457 nucleotides) under Ananas comosus (pineapple). Its description in RNAcentral is "long non-coding RNA (ACOM_LNC028088)". Lineage: Eukaryota; Viridiplantae; Streptophyta; Magnoliopsida; Poales; Bromeliaceae. The record is from RNAcentral.
CCCGGGACCGAUGCCAAUUUGGCCCGACCCGAGCACGUCAAACAGACGCCGAACGGACAGAGUUUCCCCUACCCGCCCAAGGCUCAUCACAUGUACAUUUUCAUCAAUAGAGAAAAGCACUAGCGGAAACAUACACAAACGGCUUACACGAGGGUAAGCAAUAGCCAUUAGUAAAAGAAAAAGGAAACUAAACAUUCACAAGUAAUAUGAUUCAUUUUAGAUCAUAUACAUUGCAUUCAUCUAGUAAUUUAUCGAAUUCUUACAUUCAUUACAUCAUUUCAUCAUUUCUUUCUUACAUCACAUUUACCCCAAUAUAAGCUUUACAUUCUUUCUUUACAUCACUAUUCAUCAAAUACAAAAGAUGAUCACAAGGUACUUUACUACAAAAUGAAACCCAACAUUGGUGGCCUCUGACUAAGGCGCGAUACCUUUACCUCGGUCGCUCGCCGGCUCGCUC